AUCUCCAGUCAUACCACCCUGAAUAGGCCUACCUUUUCUGAUCUCAAAACCUGAGCAGGGUAGUGCCUUGAUAGUACUUGAAUGGAAAAUUGCCUGAGAAUACCAAGUGCUGUGGGCU
This 118-nucleotide ribosomal RNA is filed under the name Carlito syrichta (Philippine tarsier). Lineage: Eukaryota; Metazoa; Chordata; Mammalia; Primates; Tarsiidae. The record is from RNAcentral.